Molecule: ribosomal RNA, 589 nt
Filed under: uncultured bacterium
Lineage: Bacteria
Description: bacterial SSU rRNA
Rfam family: Bacterial small subunit ribosomal RNA
Source: RNAcentral
AGCUACAGGCUUAACACAUGCAAGUCGAGGGACCGGUGCACGGGUGAGUAACACGUAUCCAACCUGCCGAUAACUCGGGGAUAGCCUUUCGAAAGAAAGAUUAAUAUCCGAUAGUUAUCGAUGGGGAUGCGUUCCAUUAGUUUGUUGGCGGGGUAACGGCCCACCAAGACUACGAUGGAUAGGGGUUCUGAGAGGAAGGUCCCCCACAUUGGAACUGAGACACGGUCCAAACUCCUACGGGAGGCAGCAGUGAGGAAUAUUGGUCAACGGACGAGAGUCUGAACCAGCCAAGUAGCGUGAAGGAUGACUGCCUAUGGGUUGUAAACUUCUUUUAUAUGGGAAUACGUACCAUAUGAAUAAGGAUCGGCUAACUCCGUGCCAGCAGCCGCGGUAAUACGGAGGAUCCGAGCGUUAUCCGGAUUUAUUGGGUUUAAAGGGAGCGUAGGUGGAUUGUUAAGUCAGUUGUGAAAGUUUGCGGCUCAACCGUAAAAUUGCAGUUGAAACUGGCAGUCUUGAGUACAGUAGAGGUGGACGGAAUUCGUGGUGUAGCGGUGAAAUGCUUAGAUAUCACGAGGAACUCCGUUUGCGA